Molecule: ribosomal RNA, 1469 nt
Filed under: uncultured Bordetella sp.
Lineage: Bacteria; Pseudomonadati; Pseudomonadota; Betaproteobacteria; Burkholderiales; Alcaligenaceae
Description: partial 16S-23S ribosomal RNA intergenic spacer
Rfam family: Bacterial small subunit ribosomal RNA
Source: RNAcentral
GUUUGAUCUGGCUCGUUAGACGCUGGCGGGAUGCUUUACAUGCAAGUCGAACGGCAGCACGGACUUCGGUCUGGUGGCGAGUAGCGAACAGGUGAGUAAUCUCCUCGGAACGUACCUAAUGUGGCGAGAUAUGCAACACGUAGCUAAUACCGCAUACGCCCUUCGGGGGGAAAGCGGGGGGACCUUCGGGCCUCGCCACUAUUGAAGCGGUCGAUAUCGGAUUGGCUAGUUGGUGGGGUAACGGCUCACCAAGGCGACGAUCCGUAGCUGGUUUGAAGGACGACCAGCCACACUGGGACUGAGACACGGCCCAGACUCCUACGGGAGGCAGCAGUGGGGAAUUUUGGACAAUGGGGGAAACUGGUCAGCCAUCCCGCGUGUGCGAUGAAGGCCUUCGGGUUGUAAGCACUUUUGGCAGGAAAGAAACGGCACGGGAUAAUACCCGAUGCAGCUGACGGUACCUGCAGAAUAAGCACCGGCUAACUUCGUGCCAGCAGCCGCGGUAGCCAGCGAAAAUUUAAGCGUUAAUCGGAAUUACUGGGCGUAAAGCGUGCGCAGGCGGUUCGGAAAGAAAGAUCUUAACGUCCCAGAGCUUAACUUUGGAACUGCAUUUUUAACUACAAACUAGAGUGUGUCAGAGGGGUGGAAUUCCGCGUGUAGCAGUGAAAUGCGUAGAUAUGCGGAGGAACACCGAUGGCGAAGGCAGCCUCUAGGAUAACACGAGCGCUCAUGCGAAAGCGUGGGGAGCAAACAGGAUUAGAUACCCUGGUAGUCCACGCCCUAAACGAUGUCAGCUGGCUGUUGGGGCCUUCGGGCCUUGGUAGCGCAACUAACGCGUGAAGUUGACCGCCUGGGGAGUACGGUCGCAAGAUUAAAACUCAAAAGGAAUUGACGGGGACCCGCACAAGCGGUGGAUGAUGUGGAUUAGUCUGGUACAACGCGAAAAGCCUUACCUACCUUGACAUAUCUAGGUCCCGAAGAGAUUUGGGAGUGCUCGCAAGAGAACCGGAACACAGGUGCUGCAUGGCUGUCGUCAGCUCGUGUCGUGAGAUGUUGGGUUAAGUCCGCAACAGGCGCAACCCUUGUCAUGGUUUGCUAAAAGGGGCACUCUAAUGAGACUGCCGGUGACAAACCGGAGGAAGGUGGGGACGUCAAGUCCUCAUGGCCCAUAUGGGUGAGGGGGCUUCACGUCAUACAAUGGUCAGGACAGAGGGUCGCCAACCCGCCGAGGGGAGCCAAUCCCAGAAACCCGAUCGUAGUCCGGAUCGCAGUCUGCAAUGACUGCGUGAAGUCCGGAAUCGCUAACAAUCUUUUGGAUCAGCAUGUCGCGGUGAAUACGUUCCGGGUCUUGUACACACCGCCCGUCACACCAUGGGAAUUGGGUUUUACCAGAAGUAGUUAGCCUAACCGUAAGGAGGGCGAUUACCACGGUAGGAUUCAUGACUGGGGGUGAAGUCGUAACAAGGUAA